AGGCAUGGCAAAGAUUUAAUUUUAUUUUCCUUCGUAAAUGCAGAGAUGAGAACCAUGCAUGCGUAGUGAGUGGAGCAAGCUGAAAGCCCGCAGAAAGGCACGUUUGUUCUGAUCUACCAAUGUGAAUAAAAGGAGAUCGGAAGCUGAAAAGGGAAGGAGGCCAUCACUUUGUCAGUUUUCAGACUUCACACUGCUUCCUUCCUUGGGUACUUGGGCAGUGGCCUCCCUCGUAGGUCACCCAAGAUUCUUACCUCAACCGUGCAAAUUAGUCAAGCCCGUGCAAGGCCACACGCCCCAAGCCCGGCGGCAUUGCAGCAGUUUACCGCCGCAUCUAUUUGGAGAGUAGAGCAAUCGUGGGGAGACAGAGGGAAUCACCAAAUGAUGGCGCGCAGCACACCAGGGAGAGAAGCAACAGAUACCGUCGUGCUAGCAUCAAUCAGUAGGAGGACGUACGAAAGCGCCCACUAAACAAAAGCGUGUUAGCGUAUCCGUCGAGGCCGUCUGAUGAUUUAAUAAUUAGCGAGGGCGGCAGACAGAGGCUUGGCGAGACGGCUGUUGCAGACGGUGGAGACAGCGGGGGAGCCGUGGCAUGUGGAGGCGGUGGUAGAAG
Molecule: long non-coding RNA, 610 nt
Filed under: Hordeum vulgare
Lineage: Eukaryota; Viridiplantae; Streptophyta; Magnoliopsida; Poales; Poaceae
Description: long non-coding RNA (HVUL_LNC005086)
Source: RNAcentral